RNAcentral lists this ribosomal RNA (442 nucleotides) under uncultured bacterium. RNAcentral describes it as "bacterial SSU rRNA". It matches the Rfam family "Bacterial small subunit ribosomal RNA", at positions 339 to 794 of the family's 1533-position model. The record is from RNAcentral.
UUACGGGAGGCAGCAGUGGGGAAUUUUCCGCAAUGGGCGAAAGCCUGACGGAGCAAUACCGCGUGAGGGAAGACGGCCUAUGGGUUGUAAACCUCUUUUUUCAGGGAGGAACAAAAUGACGUGUACCUGAAGAAUAAGCAUCGGCUAACUCCGUGCCAGCAGCCGCGGUAAGACGGAGGAUGCAAGUGUUAUCCGGAAUCACUGGGCGUAAAGCGUCUGUAGGUGGUUUGUUAAGUCAACUGUUAAAUCUUGAGGCUCAACUUCAAAUCAGCAGUCGAAACUAUCAGACUAGAGUAUAGUAGGGGUAAAGGGAAUUUCCAGUGGAGCGGUGAAAUGCGUAGAUAUUGGAAAGAACACCGAUGGCGAAGGCACUUUACUGGGCUAUUACUAACACUCAGAGACGAAAGCUAGGGUAGCAAAUGGGAUUAGAUACCCUGGUAGU